Molecule: ribosomal RNA, 403 nt
Filed under: Fusobacteriota bacterium
Lineage: Bacteria; Fusobacteriati; Fusobacteriota
Description: Fusobacteria bacterium partial 16S ribosomal RNA
Rfam family: Bacterial small subunit ribosomal RNA
Source: RNAcentral
UGGGGAAUAUUGCACAAUGGAGGAAACUCUGAUGCAGCGACGCCGCGUGAGUGAUGAAGAUCUUCGGAUUGUAAAACUCUGUCCUUAGUGAAGAUAAUGACAGUAACUAAGAAGCAAGCCCUGGCUAAAUACGUGCCAGCAGCCGCGGUAAUACGUAUGGGGCAAGCGUUGUCCGGAAUUAUUGGGCGUAAAGGGUACGUAGGCGGUUUAAUAAGUCCUAAUUAAAAGGCUAUGGCUCAACCAUAGUAUGGUUAGGAAACUGUUGAACUUGAGUAGAUGAGGGGAAAGUGGAAUUCCAUGUGUAGCGGUGAAAUGCGUAGAUAUAUGGAGGAACACCAAUGGCGAAGGCAACUUUCUGGAAUCAAACUGACGCUGAGGUACGAAGGCGUGGGGAGCAAACAGG